RNAcentral lists this small RNA (1297 nucleotides) under Pongo abelii (Sumatran orangutan). RNAcentral describes it as "processed transcript". Lineage: Eukaryota; Metazoa; Chordata; Mammalia; Primates; Hominidae. The record is from RNAcentral.
AGGACAAAAAGGGGUCGACUUAUCCUCCUCCCCACUAAACUGCUGCCCACACACAGAGUCCUGUUGCUUAUGGCAAAAGAAUAACAACAACACCAUUGUAUUUGUUAGUUGGUUCACUAAUGGGUGAAACUAGAGAACAUCAUUCUCUUUCAGUCCCCAGCUCUGUCCAAAUGUUCAUGCCUUUUGAGGGAGCAUUUGUCCAACUCCUUCUAUUCCCAGAUGAGUGAGAACUGUCUUGCUGCAGGUUUUCAGCUGCAACUCUCUUUUUAUUCUUACCAUAUGCAGCAGGAGCCUGAGAUUCAGGGAGCAGAUAUUCCAGGAUUUUAUUCAAAACAAUGUCAUUAAGCUCUUGUGUUGCAAUUGAAUUAAGUUUCAAAAUAGCUACAUUCAGGUCACCUUAAAGGUUUUAUCAGGAGCCCUAAAGAACCAGGAAAUUCAGAGAAAAGUUUAGAAAUAUUUGCCAUUAAGUCUCCCUUGGUGCAAUACGUACUAUGAAUAUACUGAUGAUCUAGAGACCCCUGCAAUACUCAACUCUUCCAGAGGCACGUGGAAUGAAAAUUUUGUUCUUGACUAAAUGAUAUUUUCUGUUAACAACAACACAGAAUGUGGGAAGUUACUGGAGGAAAUCAAAUGUGCACUUUGCUCUCCACAUUCUCAAAACCUGUUCCACUCACCUGAGAGAGAAGCCUUGGAAAGAGACCUAGUACUUCCUCUGCUCUGCAAAGACUAUUGCAAAGAAUUCUUUUACACUUGCCGAGGCCAUAUUCCAGCUUCAUCUUUCUACAAAUCAAAAACUUGAAGAGGAAGGUACCCCGAGGGAUGUAUUUUGCUAAAAGAAGCCAAAUGCUGGAAGAAUUGGGAGAGAUAAAUAAUUCCAGAGACAUCUUCAUUUGUUCCCUAUUGCCCAAUGCAUGAAGAAUGUUUCCUUCAAACAACUGCGGAUGAGUUUUGCUUUUACUAUGCAAGAAAAGAUGGUGGGUUGUGCUUUCCAGAUUUUCCAAGAAAACAAGUCAGAGGACCAGCAUCUAACUACUUGGACCAGAUGGAAGAAUAUGACAAAGUGGAAGAGAUCAGCAGAAAGCACAAACACAACUGCUUCUGUAUUCAGGAGGUUGUGAGUGGGCUGCGGCAGCCCGUUGGUGCCCUGCAUAGUGGGGAUGGCUCGCACCGUCUCUUCAUUCUGGAAAAAGAAGGUUAUGUGAAGAUACUUACCCCUGAAGGAGAAAUUUUCAAGGAGCCUUAUUUGGACAUUCACAAACUUGUUCAAAGUGGAAUAAAGGUUGGCUUUUUAAAUUUU